AUGUCUAAUGGUUAGGUCCUUGAUCUUUGAUCAUGUUAAAUGGCAUUCCAUUGGAGUGUCCACGACAUUGUUGGGAUCAAGCUAUCUAGUCAUGUAGGCAUAUGAAUGUACAACAAGGGAUCUCUAACCUUCCAUGGUGGAAGGAGAAUACUCUAAGAUAUGAUUCAGGAGUCUUUGGCCAAAGCAUAUGAAUAUGACUUAGGAAGUUUGUUCCAAAUCAUGUUCAAUUGAAUCAUAUAGAGAAGUAUCACAUUGGAUAGUAGACAUGAAACAAACUAUCACUUAAACAAUGUGAUUAAGAGUAUUGUAUUAGAGAAUGACCGUAUUGCAUUGUAGUUGUAACUGGAUAGGUUCUCCAACCAAUUCUACUUAGCUUGGGUAACCAUGACAUACUGCUAGGUGUCACUCAUGGUUUGUGGAAGCCCUAAUGAUUAGCAAACACUAAUUUUAAGGGAGAAUUGAAAUGUGGUUUCAAUUCACAAUCGAUCGUUAAGAGUAACAAUCGCCCACUACCUCGCUGAAUGGAACCUAAUGGAUCGUACACCGAGUAAGGAUGAUAGUGAAGAAAUAAAUAAGAUGGAUAUGCAAUUAAAUUGUUUAAUUGAAAAAUGGUCAAGAUUAAUUAAUUAGUUAAUUAAUUAUACGAAAUGUUCGUAUUAGGCUUUUAAGUUGGUUUUGGGCUUCGGGGCCCAAAAGCGUUUUGGUCCACAAGGCCCAUUAUGUUUAAGUUGUAUGAAAACUAAAACAAAAUGAGCAAAUUAGCCCAAUAACAAGGUAAGGCCGGCCAUAGGGUGAGGGGUUGCAAAUUUGGAUUAAUUACAAGUUUGCCACUCACUUGAAAUGAAGUAUAAAAUCAACUUUAUAGCUUUAUUUCUUUUUUAGGGUUUUUCUUGGUGAAAUGAGGUGAAACACUUUCUCUCUAUUUCUCUAAAGAGGCCGACCACUUAGAGGGGAAUUAGCUAGCAAUCUUUUCUUUUCUAAGUCAUCCAUUUCAUCUUCACACUUCAUCCUUGGUGUGGAGACUUAGAGACAUCAAGCUUUUGACUUGAAGGCCCUCCACUUGGGUGAAUCCCUUGUGUAAACAAGGAUGAGCUUCAAGGGUAAAGAAUCUCUAAAUUCUUAAUUCUCUUUAAUGUUGUUAAAGAGUCUUUUGGUUCACCAUAUACUAGGCUUUGAAAGUCAUGGGUUUUAUGAAUUGUUUUUGAAUGCAUGCCUACUUUAAUGUGUUAAUAGUUUGCAUAUGUAUUCAAAUGUUCUUACUUGUUCUUAGCUAGGACAAAAAAUUUCCUUCAUCAAGAACAACCUCACAAUGAUAUGAUGUUGAUCAUUCUCGUUGCCUACCUUUACAACAUCAUGUAUGCAUAUAGAACUCCUUUUAAGUGUAAGCACGCACUUUGUACUCCCCCAUGAUAGGGUGAAGUUGGUGUACGAGUCAUAAACAAUCAGAGCCUAUCACGGUGGAAGGCUACGAAAGAGUGUUCAAAGCACUCUCAUGCUUAUCAACUUCAUAAUGGUUUGGUUGAGGGUUUUAGGUCUCAUCACACAUAAGCAUGCAUUUUAAUCUUAUUAAAACAAUUUGGUCCUAUUACAACUAUUGGUCCAUUUGAUUGAUUUAGUUGUAUAUGAUACUCCCACUAUGCUUGUAAAACGGUUUUUAAAGCAAGAGUAUAUGGUACUACUAACAUAAGGUUUGCAUUCAUUAAUGGACUAUAUAGUUGCCUUAGGGCCUUAGGAUGACUAUGAACCUUUGAUUCGAUCCAACACGAGCCUAGUGUUGAAUCUCGGUCUAGGGAUGGUGAUUGAUUUUAGUUACGUGUUAUAUCACAUUAAGGCGUGUUUUCUUAUUGGACGUUGGACCCUCUACUUCAUUUUCAUGCAUAUCAAAUAAAGCAAGAAAGAAGUACUUCAAAGUAAAGAAGAGCUUAUGCUCUUUUAUAACAUUUGAUCAAAACAAAUUACUUUAAAGUAAAGAAGACCUUACACUCUUUUACAAUAUUUGAUCAUAUCAAAUUACAACCAAAAUCUAAUCUACACAUUCCCAUGGUUCAAACAAAUUUGAGACGGCCUUUCACAUAGCUCAAUUAUCGUAGGCUUAGGUUCAUAAUCACCCUUUCUUUAAUUAAUUAACGCUUUAACUAAUUGAACUUGAAUGCAACAUUUUCAUUUGGUUUUUGUUUCCGUAGAAUUGAUUUAAAUGGAGCUAAAUGAAAUGAAAAUCCAAUUCUCAUUUAAAGAUACAAAACUAUUUUGUUCUUAACUAAUUUGGGCCGAAAAGCAAUAACCUCAACCAUUGGGCUAUAUUGCAAAACAUAAACUUUUGAGGUCCCUUUGUAAAAACACAAAAGUCCACUACUUCAUGUAAUUACAACUAGAACCCAAAAAUUUCAACAAAUGCAAAAACUUCAUUAAAGGAGCAAAACAAUUUGUCCUUUAGUGAUUUUGGGCCUUUACGUAAAACCGUAAACUUUCGGGUCAAAGUACAAAUACACAAAAGUAUCAAAACUUUAUGUAAUUACAUAAAAAGCCCAAAAGUAUCCUAUUUAAUAGAGUGGCCGGUUUUGGAUGAGAGAUGGUGUCAUAAAACUUUUGAAUUUUUCAACAAAAGUGAAAGGUGAUGGGUAGGUUUGAAAAAGUGAUUUCCAUAAAACAUGGUUCCUUGAAACAAUGAAAAGGUGUAAGUGAUUGGUAUGGUGUUGAUUGAAAAAAGGACAAAUCAUGUCAUACCAUUUAUUACAAUAAAGUCACACCAACCACCAUAAACAAAACUUUAAGAAAAACAUCAAACACUUUGAAUCAAAACACCAAGCCUUUUUGUUCUUGGUUAGAACAUAACAAGAACAAUGAAGAACAUCCAUGAAAACUCAUAGGAGCUCCAUGAACAUUUUUCACCCAAAGACACCCCCAAAACUCUCAAACUUAAGGGAAAAAACAUAUUACCAUACUAGGGUACUUAGGGGUUCCUAAUGUCACUUUAAAACACUUUUAACAAGACAAACAUGAACCCAAAAAUCCACCAUUUGGAUUUGGCCGAAUUUCCCCAAAAACAUGGCACCAAAUUUUAGUUCCAAAAUUCAUGCUCAUAUGAACUACAUCUACAACAUUUGAGAUGGCAAAUUUUCUAGCAAAAUUUACAUUCAAAGAAGCAAGAAUAAAGCUUGUAACAAUUACAACAUUCAAAUUAUAAACUAUGAAAAUACAAAACCCAAAAGGAUUCACCUACUACUAGACCUAGGCUUUGAUACCACUUGAAGGAAAUUUUGUGAAAAAAUGUUCAUUUGAGCAACAUCUAUGGCCUGCAAUUAACAAUUAAAGGCGGAAUCAUGCUUGUAUGCACUUAAAAACAAAACAUUACCCAUGAAAUUCAAAGCCUAGUAGAAGGGUGAACCAAGACUCAACUCAAGAACAAAGUGAGUUGAGAAAUCUUAUACCUUUGUUGAUUUCUCUUUGCACAAGCAAAGGCUAAUCACCCAAGGAGAGGGCCUUCAUUCCUUGCUUCUUAGCUCCAUGGAUUUCUUGGAUGAGGAUGGUUGAAAGGAUUUUCCAAGUUCCCAAAGUUAAGAACCUCUAAUUUUCCACACCAAGGAGAGACUCGAAGAAGAGAUGAGUGACCUUGGAGGAAGGAAGAUUGCUAGCUAAUCUCCUCCAAGGGGGCCGGCCUCCUAGAGAGAAAGGGAGAGACAUUGUGUUCUCAUCUUUUCUCCAAAAAAACCCUAAUGAAGAAAAGGCUAUAAAGUCACAUUUAUACCUACCUUCAUUGGAGUGGCAAACUUGUAAUAAGUCCAAAACCCACUCCUUUAUUAAUAUGGCCUGCCAUAGGGUUCUAUUGGGCUGUUUGGGCCUUUGUGAAUUAUUAGUCAUUA
RNAcentral lists this long non-coding RNA (3860 nucleotides) under Malus domestica (apple). RNAcentral's name for it is "long non-coding RNA (MDOM_LNC018622)". Lineage: Eukaryota; Viridiplantae; Streptophyta; Magnoliopsida; Rosales; Rosaceae. The record is from RNAcentral.